RNAcentral lists this ribosomal RNA (429 nucleotides) under Gemmatimonadota bacterium. Its description in RNAcentral is "Gemmatimonadetes bacterium partial 16S ribosomal RNA". It matches the Rfam family "Bacterial small subunit ribosomal RNA", at positions 355 to 776 of the family's 1533-position model. The record is from RNAcentral. Lineage: Bacteria; Pseudomonadati; Gemmatimonadota.
UAGGGAAUCUUCGGCAAUGGACGAAAGUCUGACCGAGCGACGCCGCGUGAGUGAAGAAGGUUUUCGGAUCGUAAAACUCUGUUGUUAGAGAAGAACAAGGACGUUAGUAACUGAACGUCCCCUGACGGUAUCUAACCAGAAAGCCACGGCUAACUACGUGCCAGCAGCCGCGGUAAUACGUAGGUGGCAAGCGUUGUCCGGAUUUAUUGGGCGUAAAGCGAGCGCAGGCGGUUUCUUAAGUCUGAUGUGAAAGCCCCCGGCUCAACCGGGGAGGGUCAUUGGAAACUGGGAGACUGGAGUGCAGAAGAGGAGAGUGGAAUUCCAUGUGUAGCGGUGAAAUGCGUAGAUAUAUGGAGGAACACCAGUGGCGAAGGCGGCUCUCUGGUCUGUAACUGACGCUGAGGCUCGAAAGCGUGGGGAGCAAACAGG